GCGGCCGGUCCACGCCGGCAGAACCCAGGUCAAGGCCGCAGGGCCUGGCGCGGACCCCGCUCGGGUUUGAACGACUGCUCGUGAUGGGGCAGGAGCCUCAGGGAGCGCGCCGGCUUCCUCACUGAAGUUCCGGGAACCCUUUCAGAAUUCUUUAAGAUCCUCCUGGUCCUUCUCCGGAGAAAUACGACUUGCAGUUCUCCCCGUGGAACUGCCAGCCUCGGGUCGCUGUGACCUCCUGAGCUGGCCAUCCGGCAGCAGGCGUGGACUCUGUUAUGCACUGCGCCUCAAGGAUACCCACCGAACCGCAACGGGAACCUGGUUAUCCAGCCUCAUCUCUGUUGACGAAAAUAAUACUCGAAGCAGACUUGCCAGUUCCGGCCAAGAGGUGACCCCCACCAGGGUACCCUUGGGGACGAAUGGUGAGAAGGGGAAGGAAACCAAUUGUUACACUUGUUCUCACCCAGGGAGUGCUUCGACAGACACGCAGUGAGGCCUGGGCAGCAGAAUACUGGUGCGGAGUCUGCUCGGCGUCUUAACUGUAGUGUGCGUGGAAAGAAAACUGGAGGCUCGGACGCAGAACCAUCUCCAGAGAACCGCUUAUACAGGGCACUCCUGUAAUAGUUUGAGGACUCCUCAAAGGUUCAGUUCCAUGAGACUUUUUCUUCAUAAACAACUUGUAAAUUGGCCAGCUUUAUUGCUAAUUACACAUAAAAACAGGGUUUCUCUACACCGCUAGGUUAAUGGAAAAAUAAGCCACACGAGAAAAGCCCAACACAAUGAAAAACUUCUACUUCCAGAUAUUAAAAAAGAGGUAUUCGCCAUGGGUUACUACGAAAUGGGAUUGCCCACAUUUUGAUACAAUUCCUGAAAUUUCAGUCUGUAAUUUUGCUUACUGGGGCACCAUGUAGUAAGAUGGCAUCUUUGGAUGAAAUGUGGUAUAUUUAAAAUGUUGAUGGAGCACAAGGAGAUGACCUCUCAUUUUCAGAAGACAGUUAAAAGCAUUCCCACUAUACUCUGGAGUCUUAUAGUUUAAAUGGACUUGCCUUUCAAAUCAAGUGAUUUUUAUAGGGGUCUGAUAUUUAUGGACAGAAGUUUGUGGUUGAAGAAAUUCCCUUUGAGACUUUUAUCCCUAAAGAAAAUGAUUUAUGAAAACCUUUUAUGUAACCCCCAACUUUAAAUGUUUAGGUAUAUAGAUAGUAAAAAUUUAACUGUUGUUAAUUUUUUACCGACCUGUAAGUUGUCAGUUCAAAAUAUCGGUGGCUAUG
Mirounga angustirostris (Northern elephant seal) is the source of this 1265-nucleotide long non-coding RNA. RefSeq lists it as uncharacterized. The record is from RefSeq and is a predicted model, not a curated record. The transcript is spliced from 3 exons. NCBI's taxonomy places the organism in Eukaryota, Metazoa, Chordata, Mammalia, Carnivora, Phocidae.